RNAcentral lists this ribosomal RNA (253 nucleotides) under uncultured bacterium. Its description in RNAcentral is "partial 16S ribosomal RNA". It matches the Rfam family "Bacterial small subunit ribosomal RNA", at positions 524 to 776 of the family's 1533-position model. The record is from RNAcentral.
GACAGAGGGGGCAAGCGUUGCUCGGAAUCACUGGGCGUAAAGGGUGCGUAGGCGGCGCGGUAAGUCGGGUGUGAAAUUUCGGAGCUUAACUCCGAAACUGCAUUUGAUACUGGCGUGCUUGAGGACUGGAGAGGAGACUGGAAUUUACGGUGUAGCGGUGAAAUGCGUAGAUAUCGUAAGGAAGACCAGUGGCGAAGGCGGGUCUCUGGGACGGUACUGACGCUGAGACGCGAAAGCGUGGGGAGCGAACAGG